GAUGAACGCUGGCGGCGUGCCUAAUACAUGCAAGUCGAGCGAACAGACGAGGAGCUUGCUCCUCUGACGUUAGCGGCGGACGUGUGAGUAACACGUGGAUAACCUACCUAUAAGACUGGGAUAACUUCGGGAAACCGGAGCUAAUACCGGAUAAUAUAUUGAACCGCAUGGUUCAAUAGUGAAAGACGGUUUUGCUGUCACUUAUAGAUGGAUCCGCGCCGCAUUAGCUAGUUGGUAGGGUAACGGCUUACCAAGGCAACGAUGCGUAGCCGACCUGAGAGGGUGAUCGGCCACACUGGAACUGAGACACGGUCCAGACUCCUACGGGAGGCAGCAGUAGGGAAUCUUCCGCAAUGGGCGAAAGCCUGACGGAGCAACGCCGCGUGAGUGAUGAAGGUCUUCGGAUCGUAAAACUCUGUUAUUAGGGAAGAACAAAUGUGUAAGUAACUAUGCACGUCUUGACGGUACCUAAUCAGAAAGCCACGGCUAACUACGUG
This 497-nucleotide ribosomal RNA is filed under the name uncultured bacterium. RNAcentral describes it as "partial 16S ribosomal RNA". It matches the Rfam family "Bacterial small subunit ribosomal RNA", at positions 28 to 507 of the family's 1533-position model. The record is from RNAcentral.